UGGAGGGUGAGCUGGCAUGUCACAAUUGCCACUGGGGUCAGGAGAAAGGGCAAGAGCAGGUCAGAAAACGGCACCGCUUCCCUCCCCUCCCCAACAAAAAGCAUGGGGUCCACCAGCACAACUCUGGCAUCCCAAAUCCUGGCUGGUGUGGGGCUCUCCAGCCCGGGCCUCACCGAAGAAAACGGGUUGCUGGCAACGCGGGCAGGUCCAGCUCAUGGCUCUGCACAGGGCAGCCGGCGCCACACACAGUAGGCAGCACCGAGGUGGGCUCGGUUCCCGCCCCCUUCGCUGGCUCCACCCAUAGCUCCGCUGUGAGCCUCAUUGGGCUGAAUUCUGCAGCUCCUCCGCGCCUAUUGGCUGUCAGAAAUUUAGAACUCCUGGGAGAGGAAGGCGACUUCGCAGUUCUUUCCAAAAUCUAAAGCCUCUGACCCGUGUAGAUGAGAGAGGAACUUAAAGCCAGACGGGAAAGGAAGAGAGCAAUGAAGACACCUGUAAGGAUGGCACUAGAUUCUGGCUUGGUACGGAGAGGAAAAGUGUCCAGAGUGCAGACGUCAAGAAACACUUGUAAUUCCCUCAAAGCAAGGGGUCAGGCAUUUUUUGAAAUGGCUUAAUUCCGCCUUGACAGUCUCACAGGUGGUUAAGAGCAAAGGAAUCUGGAGAGCAUCUCUGCCACUUACUCUCUGGCUUCAGGCGAAUUACUUAACCUCCCUCUGCACCCAUUUGUACAGUAGCUCAGGAAAUGAGGGGCAGGAGAGAGAGCUGAUUACUGUGUGCCAGUGCCCCAGUGGAGAAAACAAUCCCUCUAAAUAUUAGGUGGUGAAAUGAAGAGUUUUCUGGAGUAAGUUCCCCUUUGAAAUCAAACUGGCAACUUGACUUAGGUUUCUGAUGAGGUGACAAGAGGAUGUUGGGCCAGAUCAGAGAUUUGGGGUUUGACUGAUUUCAACAUGCCUAUGAAAUCUGGCUUGAAGGAAAAAGGAGCUUCAGGGGCAAUGUGUCCCCUUCCUGGCCUGACACCAUUAUUCCAGAAUGCUGUUGAACUGAAGAGGUUACUGGCAGCCUCGAUAUGUAUAGAAGUUAUGAUUGAUUUGUCUGGUAUCUUACGGAAAAAGAGGGAAAAAAGGAAAAGAGAGAUUGGAUCCCCCAAAAACUCCUCACAGAGCUGGCAGUAAUAUCCAGUGAUGGGAAUCAGAAACUCAGAACCUGAAAGCAGCAGAAGUCAAGAAAAUAAGUCAUUUCCACCCAGUAGGCUCCACACCCAAUUUGGGGCUUGAACUCAUGACCUCAAGAUCAAGAGUUGAAUAUUCUACUGGCUGGGCCAGCCAGCUAUCCCUCAGUUCUAUUUUUAAAGUAGGAGGACCAGAAGCCCCCAGCUACCCACCCCCACCCUCUCUGCCAACUGUUAAACGGAAAUCACCUGUGGAAAAGAGAAAGAGAAAGAAAAUUUCAAACCAACUCUGCAUUUUAAAGAGAGGCAUAGAAAGAAUACCAACCAGUGUGGAUGUGAAUUCCUAAAAGCACAGAUGAAGAAAUGGAAUCAGAGACGCAUUAUGGAACAUCUUUUUGUGCCAAAAAGAAGUACUCCAAAAAUGAUGGGAACAUAUUAAAGGACACAGUAAUCAACUUAAAAGGGACUCCCCUGUCCAAAUCUGGGAUACUUCGGCCAUGAAAAUAAAUGACAGUAAAUUACUGUAACUUGUUAAAUGAAGAGUCCAUGAGUUCAUACUGACAAAAAUGGAUUAAUGAAUGGAAGAAGAGGGAUGGACAGGAAGCUCUUUAUCACAGUAGAAAGCCAACUAAUAAAGGCAGAAGAAAUGAUGAGAUUAAAAAAAUCACUAUUUAACGACCACUAUAAUAACUGAUUCAGUCAAGAAUCACCAAUGAAUGCUAAAACUAGUGAGAGGAAAUAUGAGGAGUAACUGAAUAUUUAUUCCUAUAAGCAUCUUUCCUAUAAGUUAUUUACUAAUUAUAAAGGAUAAAAUAAUAACUUUCCAGUGAAGAAACCAUUGAAGACAGCACCUUAACCAAAUGAUCAAAGUUGACAUCACCAGUAACAGGACUGAAAUCAACAUCUGAUAAGAACUCAGCAUCACUUCUGUGAUGUUCCUGUCAAAAAUGUAUAACCUAAAUAUAAUUAUAAGGAAGCAUCACACCAACCAAAAUUAAAGGACAUUCUACAAAUAUGUGACUUUUCUUCUAAAAUGUCAAUGUCAUGAAAUACAAAGAUUCAGGAACCGUUACAGAAAAAGGAGAGUAAAAGAACAUGACAACUGAAUGCAAUGCAUAAUCUUGCAUUCUCUUUUGCUUUAGGGAUUAGGACAAUCAAUGAAAUAGAAAUAAGACCAGUAGAUUACCAUUACAUUAUAGUUAACUUCCUAAUUUUGGUAAGUGUACUAUGGUUAUGCAAGUGAAUUCUUUGUUGUUAGGAGAAUGUUCACCUUCACAAUUUUUAGGAGUAAAAUAAAUAAAUAAAUAUCUAAAACUUAUAGAAUUCUAUAAUAAUAUCUAAAACAAAGAAUUCAGGAAACACACACACACACAAAGACUGAGAGGGGAGAAAAAGGAUAGAAUACGAUAAAAUGCUAAUAAUCAUAGACAGAGAACAUCUGAGAAUUCUUUACACUAUUAUUGUAACUUUUUAUUGUAACUUUUUUCUAAUUAAGUCAAAAAUUUUUUUAAAGUAUAAGGCUUUAGGUCACUGAACCUGUCUAAGAGUCCUCACAGCUCUCCAUUUGGAUCUCCUACUCAAGUUACUGCAAAAAGGCAGUCAUGCACAGGAGUGUCUGAUACCUUGUUGUUUGUGAAGCCUCUCCAAUUCGGUCCUGAGGUAGUACAUCUUCUUCUGGCGAGCUUCCCGGUCACUCUUUAGCUUUUCCCUCUCUUCAAUAACCUGCAAAAUAC
Long non-coding RNA from Canis lupus familiaris (dog), 2898 nucleotides. RefSeq lists it as uncharacterized. The record is from RefSeq and is a predicted model, not a curated record. NCBI's taxonomy places the organism in Eukaryota, Metazoa, Chordata, Mammalia, Carnivora, Canidae. The transcript is spliced from 11 exons.